RNAcentral lists this transfer RNA (76 nucleotides) under Coraliomargarita sp. RNAcentral's name for it is "tRNA-Thr". It matches the Rfam family "tRNA". Rfam says of the family: Transfer RNA (tRNA) molecules are approximately 80 nucleotides in length. Their secondary structure includes four short double-helical elements and three loops (D, anti-codon, and T loops). The record is from RNAcentral. RNAcentral also lists the same sequence under 7 other names. Lineage: Bacteria; Pseudomonadati; Verrucomicrobiota; Opitutia; Puniceicoccales; Coraliomargaritaceae.
GCCGAAGUAGCUCAGCUGGUAGAGCAACUCAUUCGUAAUGAGUAGGUCGUCGGUUCAAAUCCGAUCUUCGGCUCCA